GGAACGAACGCUGGCGGCAUGCCUAACACAUGCAAGUCGAACGAGACCUUCGGGUCUAGUGGCGCACGGGUGCGUAACGCGUGGGAAUCUGCCCUUAGGUACGGAAUAGCCCGGGGAAACCUGGAAUAAUACCGUAUAAUGACUUCGGUCCAAAGAUUUAUCGCCUAAGGAUGAGCCCGCGUAGGAUUAGCUUGUUGGUGAGGUAAAAGCUCACCAAGGCGACGAUCCUUAGCUGGUCUGAGAGGAUGAUCAGCCACACUGGGACUGAGACACGGCCCAGACUCCUACGGGAGGCAGCAGUGGGGAAUAUUGGACAAUGGGCGAAAGCCUGAUCCAGCAAUGCCGCGUGAGUGAUGAAGGCCUUAGGGUUGUAAAGCUCUUUUUGCCAGGGAUGAUAAUGACAGUACCUGGAGAAUAAGCUCCGGCUAACUCCGUGCCAGCAGCCGC
RNAcentral lists this ribosomal RNA (447 nucleotides) under uncultured bacterium. RNAcentral's name for it is "SSU rRNA". It matches the Rfam family "Bacterial small subunit ribosomal RNA", at positions 27 to 518 of the family's 1533-position model. The record is from RNAcentral.